RNAcentral lists this ribosomal RNA (256 nucleotides) under uncultured bacterium. Its description in RNAcentral is "partial 16S ribosomal RNA". It matches the Rfam family "Bacterial small subunit ribosomal RNA", at positions 524 to 777 of the family's 1533-position model. The record is from RNAcentral.
UACAGAGGGGGGCAAGCGUUUGUUCGGAAUUACUGGGCGUAAAGGGCGCGUAGGCGGCCUUCUAAGUCGAACGUGAAAUCCCCGGGCUCAACCCGGGAACUGCGUCCGAUACUGGAAGGCUUGAAUCCGGGAGAGGGAUGUGGAAUUCCAGGUGUAGCGGUGAAAUGCGUAGAUAUCUGGAGGAACACCGGUGGCGAAGGCGACAUCCUGGACCGGUAUUGACGCUGAGGCGCGAAAGCCAGGGGAGCAAAGCGGG